GAACGCUGGCGGGCGCUUAUGCUGCAGUCAGCGAAGCUUUUCAGUAGUUUACUACGGAAAAUGACUGAGCGGCGAACGGGUGAGUAACGCGUGAGCAAUCUACCUUAGUUACAGGGAUAGCCCGAGGAAACUCGGAUUAAUACCUGAUAUUCUUUAUUUCUCGCAUGAGAAUAAAAGGAAAGGUCAGCCGAACUAAGAUGAGCUCGCGUUCUAUCAGCUAGUUGGUGAGGUAAAAGCUCACCAAGGCUACGACGGAUAGCUGGUCUGAGAGGACGAUCAGCCACACUGGGACUGAGACACGGCCCAGACUCCUACGGGAGGCUGCAGCAGGGAAUAUUGCGCAAUGAGCGAAAGCUUGACGCAGCGACACCGCGUGUGGGAUGACGGAUCUAGGUUUGUAAACCACUUUCAGGAGGGAAGAAAAUGACGGUACCUCCACAAGAAGCCCCGGCCAACUACGUGCCAGCAGCCGCGGUAAUACGUAGGGGGCGAGCGUUGUCCGGAUUUAUUGGGCGUAAAGAGCUCGUAGGCGGUUCAACAAGUCGGUCGUGAAAGUUCAGGGCUCAACCCUGAAAUGUCGAUCGAUACUGUUGCGACUAGGAUACGGUAGAGGUGAGUGGAAUUCCGAGUGUAGCGGUGAAAUGCGUAGAUAUUCGGAGGAACACCAAUUGCGAAGGCAGCUCACUGGGCC
RNAcentral lists this ribosomal RNA (691 nucleotides) under uncultured Actinomycetes bacterium. Its description in RNAcentral is "bacterial SSU rRNA". It matches the Rfam family "Bacterial small subunit ribosomal RNA", at positions 31 to 735 of the family's 1533-position model. Lineage: Bacteria; Bacillati; Actinomycetota; Actinomycetes. The record is from RNAcentral.